RNAcentral lists this long non-coding RNA (3971 nucleotides) under Homo sapiens (human). Its description in RNAcentral is "HSALNT0258242". Lineage: Eukaryota; Metazoa; Chordata; Mammalia; Primates; Hominidae. The record is from RNAcentral.
CAUGGUUCACGCAUAUUUGAGUGGUAGUCCAAAUAAAUGCAAUAUAGAAAUUUAUGUUUGUUUAUCUAGGUGUUAAUUACCUAGAGAUUGUCCUGGAUUACUUCUUUUUAUAAAGUGUCAUAGGCUCGUGUCAGAACGAAUAAAGCUUGGCCGUGGAACCUUAUCAAUUUGCUAACUAUAGUGCCGGUCUGACCUGAGCAGGGAGGGCAGGGGAAAACUUUGGGGCUUGUUAUGUAUACACACGCCCGCAUUCAACCCACAGCAAAUAAAAUAGUCGUUUUAGAAAAUAUUCCUAGGACAUAAAGGCACAAAUAUAUCUUCAUUGUUUUACAGCCUCUUGUCCACAGCUAUUUAUAAAACAUGUGAUUAUUUAUGCGUUGGGUUAUGAGAAGUUCGCUGGGAGAGGCUGUGAAGGAGGCUCUAUCAAUCCAGUUACCUGGUGCCCUGGAGAGGUGGAGGGAGGGCUUCCCAGUGGAAACUGGGCUGGGACAGGAAGUUGGCUACUGUGAUUUGUCUAACAUGUGUCAACCUCCCGGCUGCUCCCAGAAAAGCCAGACAGAGGGAUGACAAAGUUGAGGGUUAGAGGUCACAUUAAAAAAAAAAAAUCAUGAAUGCACACUGAGAAAGUGAAACCAGAAGCCCCUAAAAAUUGUUCAUCAUACCUUGAGGCAGCCCCUGCCUUUUUCUUUGUUUACAAAGUGAUUUUGGGGUGGCAGUUUCAGUUAAAUGGUUUGGAAGAAACCGAGGGUUUUGGCCAAAAGGUUCUACUUUAAAGAAAUAGAUUUUGUAAGGGCAAGAAGAAUUCCAGACAGAGCUGGGAGUGUCUAAGUUGGGUGCCCGCUUUUGUUGGGGAAGUUUGUUUCCCUUGGGUUUUCUGCCUUGCUUGUCUUCUUUUUCCUACGCACCACACCUCCAUUUUUGGCAAUCAGAUACCAGAAAAUCAAUACAAGUAACUGCGGGUCCCUGUGGGCUGCACCCGGCUGGAUGGACUGUUCUCCUGGGGUUCAGGAAAGCCUAGGGGAGACAGGCACUGGUAUUCAACUGUGCUCGCUUCUCUCCAGCUGGAGCCGAGGGGAGCCAUCGAGACCCCUAAACAGCAAACUCUCCUACCGUGGAAGCUCUCUGCUGGGGAUCUUUCUGAUGAUAAGUGGGCACUGAAUUCACGCAGCCCCAGAAGUGCCUUCUACCUCUCUCUUCACUGUGCCCAGGACCCCAUCUACUGGGCACCCACCUAUGGACCAACAUCUCCGUGGGACAAUUCAACAAAUAUGCGGGAAGAUGUACAUUGAAAGAUGGGUGUUUGUUCUUAAUCUGCCUGGCUCUCCAUAGACAUCAGCUUGUCUAUCUGUUGUGGGGGUGGCCUGAGAGCUGAACUGGACCCAAAAAAGCAAAACAGCACAGCUACUCACGCACUAUGCUCACCCUGGGCCAGACCCGGGGGAGAGCAAAAUAUAUUUCUCACUGAUUCUCACACUGAAUCCUCUGUUAUUCUCAUAACAGAUUGUGGCAGGCCAUAUGUGGAACUUCCGUUGACCAUUCCAGGGAAGCCCAGGGAGGGUGAAUGGAUGAUACAGAAGAGAAGGCUGCAUCCCGGUCACAAACCUGCAAUACAAAUCAGAAGGAAGAAGUUAGCCCUUAAAGGGCCAGCCGAGCCCCAGUGCUGUGCCAUGAAAGGCAUAUUGUCAGGAAUUACAACAUGGACCCAACGGCCCUUAUUUGGAAGAUGCAAAUGCAAGUCUCCUGCCAGACAGACUUGCUCCUAAGUAAGAGUAGCCAUUUGGGAUGCCUGUGCAGGAGGGUGCAAUGGAAGCUUGAAGACCAAGGAAUCCUUUUGUGUCUGUCCACGAACACUCUAGGAAGGAAGUGGGAGGCAUGAAGAGAAUUUGCUACCAGCACACCCUCUCCAGCUUAGCUCAGCUUUUAAUUGGAUCUUUUUAUUUUUUUCUUUUGAGAUGGAGUCUUCCUCUGUCGCCCAGGCUGGAGUGCAGUGGCACAAUCUCUGCUCACUGCAACCUCUGCCUCCUGGGUUCAAGCGAUUUUCCUGCCUCAGCCUCCCGAGUAGCUGGGACUACAGGUGCCCAACACCAUGCCUGGCUAAUUUUUGUAUUUUUAGUAGAGAUGAGGUUUCACUAUGUUGUCCAGGCUAGUCUCAAAUUCCUGACCCCAAGUGACUUGCCGGCCUUGGCUUCCCAAAGUGCUGGAAUUAUAGGCAUGAGCCACUGCGCCCGGCCAUAAUUGGAUCUUGAGCCAUCACUUAACUUAGCUGUAAAAUGGAGACAGUGUGCCCCACCCAUCUCAUGAUAGAGGGAGGAUCACUGAAGACAAGGUCUUGGGAAAGUCCCAGCACCAAACCUCAGGAAGGGCUGGCAGGUGGAGGAGGAGAAUGAUUGUGUUUCACCGAGCCAUUAGCUUUACUCCUCCUUCUCUGGCUUCUGAGCUUUAGAAUUUAUCUGUAUUUUAACCAGCCUGUAUAAAUAGAUAUACCAGGUUUUAUGAGAGGCUGCCUCAAAUCCCUUUGGAAAUAGGGUGGGUAUAAAAUAAAAACCAAUACAGUAAUUUCUCAAGAGAAAUCUAGCUGCGAUGAUCAACAUCAAGGAGUGCCUUUGUUUCUCUCUGGACUUGGAGCCACUUUGAAAUAAUGAGGCUUCCAGAAGCAGGAAGUUUGUCCUGUCCUUGAACCCCCAGGGUGCAUGUUCUGGGGAAAGGAGAAGGUUCAAGUCUCCACGCAAAGGAUUUCAGGCAUGUUCCCCAUGGUGCUGAGGUGGACCUCUAAGCCCUGGCCUCCUCUGUCCCAGCCUCUAUCACACUGCAGCCCCAGAGCACCCCCUCCACUCACCACCAGGGCGUCCUCCCCUUGACCUGCUCACCCCUCUUUCUGGUCAGCUUAAUCAUUUCCACCACUCCCAAGACCUCUGGACCAAUCAGCUCUUCACCAGGUCAAGAUCAAUGUUUAACAACUGAAUAAAAGAGGGAAUCCCAUCGUUUAAUUGGAAACAAAGAAUGGAUUGUAGAAAGAUCUUUAUCAUCUGGGUAAAUUUCGAAGUCAAGGUGUGACAGUUCUGAUUAACUGAUUAAGCUGAUUCACUUCGCCUGGCUUGCUUGUCUCCCCACCCUCUGCUUGCAAUCCUACAAGACCUUUAGGGCCCACUGCAGGGCUGGUACAGGAAGCCUUUACAGGUCCCUUGCAGAAUGCCCCCUAAGGUUAUCUGUCUCUUAUCCCUGGGGCACUCAGCACCUCUCUUGGGUUUAGCUGUGUCUGGUCUCCUUCCUUCCAGGGAGCUGACCAUCCUGUUGCUGCUGUUACCUGCUCUGGGUGCCUCUGUGUUUAUUUCACAGUGUAAGACCUGGCAUAGAUUAGGUGCUCAAUGACUAUUUUGUUUGUGAAUUGGUGGAUAGAUGACAUAAACUGCAGACGCGUUCUUGGACAGCUGGAAAGGGAGGAGACCCUUGGGAUUUGGAAUGCCACUGACUGCCCUGUACAGAGAGCACUGUGAGGCUGGUGUCAUACAAGUGUCCAACAUCAAGGAUUUUGCCCCUAGACUCAGAAAGGGUGUGGAAAAAAGCAGCAGGAAGAGAGGCAGGGAUGAAUGAACUUCUCCUGGGCAGGACAAGGAGAGGAGUCCUCAUUGACUGAGGGUCAGAGAAGCUGCGGCCCUCAGGGCUGGCUUUCAAUUUGGACACAGGAUCAGAGUGAUGGGGGCUGGCAUGGCCAGGGAUGGGAGGGAUGUCAGGGGCUGCCACCCCAGGCCAAACGCCACCCAAAGAGACUCUUUACAUAGAGAGACUUGUGUAUUUACCUUUAGGGUCUUUGAGCUUGUGAAAUGCUUUUCUACUUGGAAGACACAAGGUAGAAAAGCAGCCGCUUAGAAUUGGAGCAAAAGAGAUCUUGGGAGCACAGGUGGGGGACGGGAGAGAACAGAGGAGGAGGUGAGUCUUCAGAGGGGACAUUUCCAUGGGCCCUGAUUGUACGU